RNAcentral lists this ribosomal RNA (408 nucleotides) under uncultured bacterium. RNAcentral describes it as "partial 16S ribosomal RNA". It matches the Rfam family "Bacterial small subunit ribosomal RNA", at positions 28 to 526 of the family's 1533-position model. The record is from RNAcentral.
GACGAACGCUGGCGGCGUGCCUAACACAUGCAAGUCGAACGAAGUGGCGAACGGGUGAGUAACGCGUAAUCAACCUGCUCUUCAGAGGGGGAAAACAGUUGGAAACGACUGAUAAUAUCGCAUUCUGAAGGAGGGGUUUGCGUCUGAUUUGGUAGUUGGAGGGGUAACGGCCCACCAAGGCGAUGAUCAGUAGGCGGUCUGGAAGGAUGAACAGCCACAUUGGGGCUGAGACACGGCCGCGACUCCUACGGGAGGCAGCCGUGAGGGAUCUGCCGCAAUGGACGAAAGUCUGACGGAGCAACGCCGGGGGAGUGAUAACGGCUUUCGGGUUGUAAAACUCGGUUAGUCGGAGAGCGGGAUCGGAAUAGAAAGCCACGGCUAACUACGUGCCAGCAGCCGCGGUAAUAC